RNAcentral lists this ribosomal RNA (2918 nucleotides) under Bacillus cereus. Its description in RNAcentral is "bacterial LSU rRNA". It matches the Rfam family "Bacterial large subunit ribosomal RNA". RNAcentral also lists the same sequence under 1 other name. The record is from RNAcentral. Lineage: Bacteria; Bacillati; Bacillota; Bacilli; Caryophanales; Bacillaceae.
UUAAGUUAGAAAGGGCGCACGGUGGAUGCCUUGACACUAGGAGUCGAUGAAGGACGGGACUAACGCCGAUAUGCUUCGGGGAGCUGUAAGUAAGCUUUGAUCCGAAGAUUUCCGAAUGGGGAAACCCACCAUACGUAAUGGUAUGGUAUCCUUAUCUGAAUACAUAGGGUAAGGAAGACAGACCCAGGGAACUGAAACAUCUAAGUACCUGGAGGAAGAGAAAGCAAAUGCGAUUUCCUGAGUAGCGGCGAGCGAAACGGAACAUAGCCCAAACCAAGAGGCUUGCCUCUUGGGGUUGUAGGACAUUCUAUACGGAGUUACAAAGGAACGAGGUAGACGAAGCGACCUGGAAAGGUCCGUCGUAGAGGGUAACAACCCCGUAGUCGAAACUUCGUUCUCUCUUGAAUGUAUCCUGAGUACGGCGGAACACGUGAAAUUCCGUCGGAAUCUGGGAGGACCAUCUCCCAAGGCUAAAUACUCCCUAGUGAUCGAUAGUGAACCAGUACCGUGAGGGAAAGGUGAAAAGCACCCCGGAAGGGGAGUGAAAGAGAUCCUGAAACCGUGUGCCUACAAAUAGUCAGAGCCCGUUAACGGGUGAUGGCGUGCCUUUUGUAGAAUGAACCGGCGAGUUACGAUCCCGUGCGAGGUUAAGCUGAAGAGGCGGAGCCGCAGCGAAAGCGAGUCUGAAUAGGGCGUUUAGUACGUGGUCGUAGACCCGAAACCAGGUGAUCUACCCAUGUCCAGGGUGAAGUUCAGGUAACACUGAAUGGAGGCCCGAACCCACGCACGUUGAAAAGUGCGGGGAUGAGGUGUGGGUAGCGGAGAAAUUCCAAUCGAACCUGGAGAUAGCUGGUUCUCCCCGAAAUAGCUUUAGGGCUAGCCUUAAGUGUAAGAGUCUUGGAGGUAGAGCACUGAUUGGACUAGGGGUCCUCAUCGGAUUACCGAAUUCAGUCAAACUCCGAAUGCCAAUGACUUAUCCUUAGGAGUCAGACUGCGAGUGAUAAGAUCCGUAGUCAAAAGGGAAACAGCCCAGACCGCCAGCUAAGGUCCCAAAGUGUGUAUUAAGUGGAAAAGGAUGUGGAGUUGCUUAGACAACUAGGAUGUUGGCUUAGAAGCAGCCACCAUUUAAAGAGUGCGUAAUAGCUCACUAGUCGAGUGACUCUGCGCCGAAAAUGUACCGGGGCUAAAUACACCACCGAAGCUGCGGAUUGAUACCAAUGGUAUCAGUGGUAGGGGAGCGUUCUAAGGACAGUGAAGUCAGACCGGAAGGACUGGUGGAGUGCUUAGAAGUGAGAAUGCCGGUAUGAGUAGCGAAAGACGGGUGAGAAUCCCGUCCACCGAAUGCCUAAGGUUUCCUGAGGAAGGCUCGUCCGCUCAGGGUUAGUCAGGACCUAAGCCGAGGCCGACAGGCGUAGGCGAUGGACAACAGGUUGAUAUUCCUGUACCACCUCUUUAUCGUUUGAGCAAUGGAGGGACGCAGAAGGAUAGAAGAAGCGUGCGAUUGGUUGUGCACGUCCAAGCAGUUAGGCUGAUAAGUAGGCAAAUCCGCUUAUCGUGAAGGCUGAGCUGUGAUGGGGAAGCUCCUUAUGGAGCGAAGUCUUUGAUUCCCCGCUGCCAAGAAAAGCUUCUAGCGAGAUAAAAGGUGCCUGUACCGCAAACCGACACAGGUAGGCGAGGAGAGAAUCCUAAGGUGUGCGAGAGAACUCUGGUUAAGGAACUCGGCAAAAUGACCCCGUAACUUCGGGAGAAGGGGUGCUUUCUUAACGGAAAGCCGCAGUGAAUAGGCCCAAGCGACUGUUUAGCAAAAACACAGCUCUCUGCGAAGCCGUAAGGCGAAGUAUAGGGGGUGACACCUGCCCGGUGCUGGAAGGUUAAGGAGAGGGGUUAGCGUAAGCGAAGCUCUGAACUGAAGCCCCAGUAAACGGCGGCCGUAACUAUAACGGUCCUAAGGUAGCGAAAUUCCUUGUCGGGUAAGUUCCGACCCGCACGAAAGGUGUAACGAUUUGGGCACUGUCUCAACCAGAGACUCGGUGAAAUUAUAGUACCUGUGAAGAUGCAGGUUACCCGCGACAGGACGGAAAGACCCCGUGGAGCUUUACUGUAGCCUGAUAUUGAAUUUUGGUACAGUUUGUACAGGAUAGGCGGGAGCCUUUGAAACCGGAGCGCUAGCUUCGGUGGAGGCGCUGGUGGGAUACCGCCCUGACUGUAUUGAAAUUCUAACCUACGGGUCUUAUCGACCCGGGAGACAGUGUCAGGUGGGCAGUUUGACUGGGGCGGUCGCCUCCUAAAGUGUAACGGAGGCGCCCAAAGGUUCCCUCAGAAUGGUUGGAAAUCAUUCGUAGAGUGCAAAGGCAUAAGGGAGCUUGACUGCGAGACCUACAAGUCGAGCAGGGACGAAAGUCGGGCUUAGUGAUCCGGUGGUUCCGCAUGGAAGGGCCAUCGCUCAACGGAUAAAAGCUACCCCGGGGAUAACAGGCUUAUCUCCCCCAAGAGUCCACAUCGACGGGGAGGUUUGGCACCUCGAUGUCGGCUCAUCGCAUCCUGGGGCUGUAGUCGGUCCCAAGGGUUGGGCUGUUCGCCCAUUAAAGCGGUACGCGAGCUGGGUUCAGAACGUCGUGAGACAGUUCGGUCCCUAUCCGUCGUGGGCGUAGGAAAUUUGAGAGGAGCUGUCCUUAGUACGAGAGGACCGGGAUGGACGCACCGCUGGUGUACCAGUUGUUCUGCCAAGGGCAUAGCUGGGUAGCUAUGUGCGGAAGGGAUAAGUGCUGAAAGCAUCUAAGCAUGAAGCCCCCCUCAAGAUGAGAUUUCCCAUAGCGUAAGCUAGUAAGAUCCCUGAAAGAUGAUCAGGUUGAUAGGUUCGAGGUGGAAGCAUGGUGACAUGUGGAGCUGACGAAUACUAAUAGAUCGAGGACUUAACC